Molecule: ribosomal RNA, 672 nt
Filed under: Rhizoctonia sp. 152
Lineage: Eukaryota; Fungi; Basidiomycota; Agaricomycetes; Cantharellales; Ceratobasidiaceae
Description: eukaryotic LSU rRNA
Rfam family: 5.8S ribosomal RNA (bases 287-440)
Source: RNAcentral
UCUUGUGGGGGGACACGCGGAGAGGUCACUUUUUAAAUGGUGGAGGGGGUGCUGUGGGGUCUCACGAGUAUUGUGCGCGCCCUUUUCACUUUUCCUUCUUCCACCCGUGCACACACUGUAGAUAUCGGAUAAAUUUUCGGUGGGAUUUUUUUUAAUAUGGCCGGCUGUGAUAGCUGUUCUUUUGCGAGGGGUUCAGUGCACUUUCCGGGUUUUAUGUGUCUCUCACAUAUUCUAAGUAAUGUCAUAGAAUGUAUAGUGGGUCGUAUGACCUCUAAAAUUAUAAUACAACUCUCAACACAGGAUAUCUUGGCUCUCGCAUAGAGGAAGAGCGCACAGAAAUACGAUAAGUAAUAUGAAAAGCAGAGAUCACAGAAUCAUAGAAUCUUUGAACGCACCCUGCGCUCCCUGGUAUUCCGAGGAGCACACCCGUGUGAGAGUCACAAAAUUUUCAAUAUCUUCCGGAUUUUUUUAUUCGGUGGAGACUUGGAUGUGAGGGCUUGCCGGUUACUCAAUCGGCUCCCUUUAAAAAUGUUAGCGUUGCCUCAGCCGAUCGAACGCCCCUCGGUAUGAUAAUUAUCUAUGCCGUGUCGGGGAUCGCAUGAGAGUAUGCUCCUAACCUGUCUCAUCUGAGACAUAUUCAUCAUAUCUUGACCUCAAAUCAGGGAGGACACC